Rhincodon typus (whale shark) is the source of this 863-nucleotide long non-coding RNA. RefSeq lists it as uncharacterized. The transcript is spliced from 3 exons. The record is from RefSeq and is a predicted model, not a curated record. Lineage: Eukaryota; Metazoa; Chordata; Chondrichthyes; Orectolobiformes; Rhincodontidae.
CCUUCGGCGAGCAGUAAGAGGUUCACGGCCAGAAAUGAGCCGCGUGAGACUCGAGAUUCAGCCAAAGAAAACUGUACAGUGACAUAUUGUCUAAGGCUGCCGGGACUCCCAAUGGCAGGAGACCUGGCCUUUCCGACCUUCCAAUAGUUUCCCACUCACCAUGGAGGGAAAGAAUUACCUGUGUCUGCUUAUCAUCAAGUAACUUUUGCAACAAGGGACACGAUUUAACUGAACCCCUAGGACUUCGCUUCGUAAAUGUGUGGAUUAGCGCUGGGCUUGGUUUGUACACGCUCUCUUGAAGAACCGGUUUUGAUAGCAAGGAUCUUCUGCUUUACCAACCGCAAGUUGACUGACUCACUUCAGAAACUUAAAAUUGUUGCUGGAAGUAUCUAAACUUUCUGCUUCAAGACGCUGACCACGUUUGAAGCCCAUGUUGACCUUUCCGGGUGAUAUGGUAGAACUUGCUGUUGGUUGACUUGGUGACAAGGAUAUGAAGAGGCGGGGAGCUACUGCAAAGGACAAAGAUCGCUUCAGUAGCUGUGUUCAUUCACGCUUUCUCACACAGAGACUAUUUACUUUGCUCUCCUGCUGUAAUUGCACAUUUCUGCAAAUUUUUACCCAUUUAAACGCUUCAUUUAACUCCAUUUUCUGUUCCUCGUUAACAGCUAAAAGGAUUUAUUUUUUUUAAAAAUCCUCUCAGAUAACGAGCAACUUUUUGUGUUGUGUUCUGUUCAUUUUUAAGCAUGGUUUUUCUAAAGAAGACAAAUUAACUGAAUUAGAAUUUUGGCAUAACUUUUACGCCAUUCUGCAUGGUCAAGCUCCCAUCAAAUUAAAGACUUCUAUAAGUUUUGAGACGCAUACUC